This 72-nucleotide transfer RNA is filed under the name Thermoplasmatota archaeon. RNAcentral describes it as "Candidatus Thermoplasmatota archaeon (groundwater metagenome) tRNA-Ala". It matches the Rfam family "tRNA". Rfam says of the family: Transfer RNA (tRNA) molecules are approximately 80 nucleotides in length. Their secondary structure includes four short double-helical elements and three loops (D, anti-codon, and T loops). Lineage: Archaea; Methanobacteriati; Thermoplasmatota. The record is from RNAcentral.
GGGCCCAUAGAUCAGUGGAAGAUCGCCGUCUUCGCAAGGCGGAGGCCGUGGGUUCAAAUCCCACUGGGUCCA